GUGGCGCUCUCUCGUCGCAUGACCGCGUCCGCCCUCCUCCUGCUCUUCCUCCUCGUCGCCACAGAGAUGGGGGCGACGAUGACCAAGGUGGCGGAGGCGCGGGACUGCCUGUCGCAGAGCCACAACUUCAAGGGCGCGUGCCUCAGCAGCAGCAACUGCGCCGCCGUCUGCCACACGGAGAACUUCCCAGACGGCGAGUGCCACACGCCGCACUUCGCGCGCAAGUGCUUCUGCAAGAGGCCCUGCUAG
RNAcentral lists this ribosomal RNA (249 nucleotides) under Triticum aestivum (bread wheat). RNAcentral describes it as "partial small subunit ribosomal RNA". Lineage: Eukaryota; Viridiplantae; Streptophyta; Magnoliopsida; Poales; Poaceae. The record is from RNAcentral.